UUUCCUACGGGAGGCAGCAGUGGGGAAUUUUACGCAAUGGGCGAAAGCCUGACGUAGCGACACCGCGUGAGCGAAGAAGCCCUUUGGGGUGUAAAGCUCUGUCAGCAGGAACGAAUAAAUGACGGUACCUGCAGAGGAAGCAUCGGCUAACUACGUGCCAGCAGCCGCGGUAAGACGUAGGAUGCAAGCGUUGUCCGGAUUUAUUGGGCGUAAAGAGUUCGUAGGCGGUUCGUUAAGUCUGAUGUUAAAGAUCGGGGCUCAACCCUGGGAGUGCAUUGGAUACUGGCGGACUCGAGUACGGUAGAGGCGAGUGGAAUUCCCAGUGUAGCGGUGAAAUGCGUAGAUAUUGGGAAGAACACCGGUGGCGCAAGCGACUCGCUGGGCCGCAACUGACGCUGAGGAACGAAAGCUAGGGGAGCGAAUGGGAUUAGAUACCCCAGUAGUCCUAGCUGUAAACGAUGGAUACUAGGCGUAUCGGGUAUCGACCCCUGAUGUGCCGCAGCUAACGCGAUAAGUAUCCCGCCUGAGUAGUACGGCCGCAAGGUUGAAACUCAAAGGAAUUGACGGGGGCCCGCACAAGCGGUGGAACAUGUGGUUUAAUUCGAAGCAACGCGAAGAACCUUACCAGGGCUUGACAUCUGGAGAACUUCCCGGAAACGGGAAGGUGCCCGCAAGAGAGCUCCAAGACAGGUGGUGCAUGGCUGUCGUCAGCUCGUGUCGUGAGAUGUUGGGUUAAGUCCCGCAACGAGCGCAACCCCUACCUUUAGUUGCCAGCGCGUCAUGGCGGGGACUCUAAAGGGACUGCCUUCGCAAGAAGUGAGGAAGGCGGGGACGACGUCAAGUCAUCAUGGCCCUUACGCCUAGGGCUACACACGUGCUACAAUGGCCGGUACAGAGGGUCGCCACCUAGUGAUAGGGCGCCAAUCUCAAAAAGCCGGUCUCAGUUCGGAUCGAAGUCUGCAACUCGACUUCGUGAAGCCGGAAUCGCUAGUAAUCGCGCAUCAGCAAUGGCGCGGUGAAUACGUUCCCGGGCCUUGUACACACCGCCA
Molecule: ribosomal RNA, 1049 nt
Filed under: uncultured bacterium
Lineage: Bacteria
Also listed under: 1 other name
Description: bacterial SSU rRNA
Rfam family: Bacterial small subunit ribosomal RNA
Source: RNAcentral